GGCUUUAGUGCAAGUGGGA
RNAcentral lists this microRNA (19 nucleotides) under Ananas comosus (pineapple). RNAcentral's name for it is "microRNA s0651_c86a". The record is from RNAcentral. Lineage: Eukaryota; Viridiplantae; Streptophyta; Magnoliopsida; Poales; Bromeliaceae.